AUUGAACGCUGGCGGCAUGCCUUACACAUGCAAGUCGAACGGCAGCGGGCCUUCGGGUGCCGGCGAGUGGCGAACGGGUGAGUAAUGCAUCGGAACGUGCCAUUGAGUGGGGGAUAACGUAGCGAAAGUUACGCUAAUACCGCAUAUUCUGUGAGCAGGAAAGCAGGGGACCGCAAGGCCUUGCGCUCUUUGAGCGGCCGAUGUCAGAUUAGCUAGUUGGUGAGGUAAAGGCUUACCAAGGCGACGAUCUGUAGCGGGUCUGAGAGGAUGAUCCGCCACACUGGAACUGAGACACGGUCCAGACUCCUACGGGAGGCAGCAGUGGGGAAUUUUGGACAAUGGGCGCAAGCCUGAUCCAGCCAUGCCGCGUGAGUGAAGAAGGCCUUGGUUGGUUAAAGACGUCUUUCGGUCCGGGAACGGAAAGUACGCAUGGGUUAA
Molecule: ribosomal RNA, 438 nt
Filed under: uncultured bacterium
Lineage: Bacteria
Description: bacterial SSU rRNA
Rfam family: Bacterial small subunit ribosomal RNA
Source: RNAcentral